Leptonychotes weddellii (Weddell seal) is the source of this 358-nucleotide non-coding RNA. The record is from RefSeq and is a predicted model, not a curated record. Lineage: Eukaryota; Metazoa; Chordata; Mammalia; Carnivora; Phocidae.
CCCGUCCCAGCCCCGCCGCCGCCCUUCUUCACCUUCAUGGCCUCGCCGGGCCGCCGCUCGCCUGCUGCCGCGGCGGCUGCCUGCGCCGGCUGGAGCCGAGAGAAGGGGGAGCGUCUGCAGCCCCGCCCCCGGCCGGGGCCCCAGGUACCACCCUCAAAAUGAAAGACUGGAAUUCCAGCUUCAAACCUUAAUCAGCAGAACUGUCCAUCCAAAUUCUGCCUUCGUGUACUUUUGCUGUUAUCUUUCCUACAUGCGUGACCAUAUCUUUCCUGGAUGGCUUGCACGGAGGGAGAUGCAGCCUAUCUGUUUCUUUACAAAAAGCACUGGGAGUCAUUUUAAUAAAUGUUUUUGGAUAUGA